AUUGAACGCUGGCGGCAGGCCUAACACAUGCAAGUCGAACGGUAACAGGAAACAGCUUGCUGUUUCGCUGACGAGUGGCGGACGGGUGAGUAAUGUCUGGGAAACUGCCUGAUGGAGGGGGAUAACUACUGGAAACGGUAGCUAAUACCGCAUAACGUCGCAAGACCAAAGAGGGGGACCUUCGGGCCUCUUGCCAUCGGAUGUGCCCAGAUGGGAUUAGCUAGCAGGUGAGGUAACGGCUCACCUAGGCGACGAUCCAUAGCUGGUCUGAGAGGAUGACCAGCCACACUGGAACUAGGACACGGUCCAGACUCCUACGGGAGGCAGCAGUGCGGAAUAUUGCACAAUGGGCGCAAGCCUGAUGCAGCCAUGCCGCGUGUAUGAAGAAGGCCUUCGGGUUGUAAAGUACUUUCAGCGGGGAGGAAGGGAGUAAAGUUAAUACCUUUGCUCAUUGACGUUACCCGCAGAAGAAGCACCGGCUAACUCCGUG
This 490-nucleotide ribosomal RNA is filed under the name uncultured bacterium. Its description in RNAcentral is "partial 16S ribosomal RNA". It matches the Rfam family "Bacterial small subunit ribosomal RNA", at positions 30 to 507 of the family's 1533-position model. The record is from RNAcentral.